CACCGCGGUUAUACGAGAGGCCCAAAUUGAUAGCCACCGGCGUAAAGGGUGGUUAUGAUCUCCCUAAAAUAAAGUCAAAUGUUUUCAAGGCUGUUAUACGCACCCGAAGAUAAGAAGCCCAACUACGAAAGUGACUUUAACAACUCUGACCCCACGAAAGCUGUGAUA
Molecule: ribosomal RNA, 168 nt
Filed under: Tyrannophryne pugnax (tyrant devil)
Lineage: Eukaryota; Metazoa; Chordata; Actinopteri; Lophiiformes; Oneirodidae
Description: partial 12S rRNA
Source: RNAcentral